This is a long non-coding RNA of Myodes glareolus (Bank vole), 1177 nucleotides long. RefSeq lists it as uncharacterized. Lineage: Eukaryota; Metazoa; Chordata; Mammalia; Rodentia; Cricetidae. The record is from RefSeq and is a predicted model, not a curated record.
UUCAGUCUCUCUUCAGAGAAACAGAGACAACAAUGGGCUGUGGGAACCCAAGGGGACUCCUAGCCAAGUCUGCUCAAAAGAGCCAGUGGAAGCAGCAUCGUGGACACACAACUGUCCUGCCAUCCUGUGGUGAACGCUGACGUCUUUAGAGGAACCACGGGCUGCAGGAGGUUCUUGUCAAGCUAGGCACACAGCAGGACUCCAGGAUAAGGCUGGGGAAGCCAUCUUGGGAGAGGUUGUCCCCUGGAUCCUGCACAUCUGGGAUGGUGAUGCUUGGAUGAUGAUGUGUGUUGGAGGUGAAGCUAAUAUGUACAGAGGAUGGACGGUCACAGAACUGGGCACGGGUCAUUAUAGAGAGGGCAGGCCUACCCUUGGCCUUCUGUUCACACAUUCAAAGGACUGUAUAACCUCAGCAGGGCGUGGGCACCACUGGUCCUCAGAAGACUUUACUCUCCACCAUUCGCCCUCUGAACUUGUACAUUUACUCAUAGACAGGUACAAAAACUUGGGGGCUCUCUUAGACUUGGUCCUUCAGAAGACCAGAGAUCAGCUGGGUCAGCCUGGACAAGCUUGGGGCAAAAUCCAGCAUCCCAUCUGGACGCCAUGGGAGCCUGCUGUGCGGUGACCAAAUGCAGCUUCAUGUUGGCUUUUCUGUCUGUGCCAGGUUUUCUAAAUUUAGAGAGGCCUUCAGAGACUCAGAUCAAGAUGGUCGGGGAACUGGGAUCAAGGAAAGCUAUCCUCGGGCUACAGCGGCUGUGCUGUGGUGAUUGAGAGUGGAGACGUGUAGAAGGCGGCUGGGUGCAGCGGCUCUGCUCACAGCACCCUCUCCCUGGCUACUGCAAUGCUCGCUCAUUUGGGCAACAAACACUUGGUGACCAAGAACCAUCAGUGCACCCCAGGCAAGUAUUUGGUCCAUAACCAACACUGUGUACCUGGAAAGUACCUGCUCAGAACCAUUGCCACAACAAUCAGACAUCUAAGCCCGUGCCACCACUGUGCACUAACACCUGACUCAGAAUCAUCACUGUGCACUGGGAAAGCACCUGAUACAGAACCACCAAUAUGCACCUGGCAAGUACCUGGUCUGCAAUCAUCACUGUAUGCCAGGCAAUCACCUAAGCUGGUGCCACCACUGUGCGCUAAGAAGAUGGUAUACUACACUGAAGAAAACAGGGAG